GACAUAGGGCGCGAGCGUUGUCCGGAUUUAUUGGGCGUAAAGAGCUCGUAGGCGGCUUGUUGCGUCGGCUGUGAAAACCCGAGGCUCAACCUCGGGCCUGCAGUCGAUACGGGCAGGCUAGAGUGCGGGAGAGGAGAGUGGAAUUCCUGGUGUAGCGGUGAAAUGCGCAGAUAUCAGGAAGAACGCCCGUGGCGAAGGCGGCUCUCUGGAACGCAACUGACGCUGAGACGCGAAAGCGUGGGGAGCAAACAGG
This 253-nucleotide ribosomal RNA is filed under the name uncultured bacterium. RNAcentral describes it as "partial 16S ribosomal RNA". It matches the Rfam family "Bacterial small subunit ribosomal RNA", at positions 524 to 776 of the family's 1533-position model. The record is from RNAcentral.